Molecule: small RNA, 106 nt
Filed under: Epilithonimonas xixisoli
Lineage: Bacteria; Pseudomonadati; Bacteroidota; Flavobacteriia; Flavobacteriales; Weeksellaceae
Description: Chryseobacterium xixisoli Flavo-1 RNA
Rfam family: Flavo-1 RNA
Source: RNAcentral
CCAUAGCCCCGAUAGAAGCGGCAUCCUUUUUUGUUUUAUCUUUUAGUUUUCUAUUGAUGACAAAUGGUCGUAAACAAAAAAGAUAUAGCGGAUAGCGGGAAAUAGC